UACGUAGGGGGCUAGCGUUGUCCGGAUUUAUUGGGCGUAAAGAGCGUGUAGGCGGCCAGGUAGGUCUGGUGUGAAAACUCGAGGCUUAACCUCGAGAUGUCAUCGGAAACCAUCUGGCUAGAGUCCGGGAGAGGUGAGUGGAACUGCGAGUGUAGAGGUGAAAUUCGUAGAUAUUCGCAAGAACACCAGUGGCGAAGGCGGCUCACUGGCCCGGUACUGACGCUGAGGUGCGAAAGCGUGGGGAGCAAACAGGG
This 254-nucleotide ribosomal RNA is filed under the name uncultured bacterium. RNAcentral's name for it is "partial 16S ribosomal RNA". It matches the Rfam family "Bacterial small subunit ribosomal RNA", at positions 524 to 777 of the family's 1533-position model. The record is from RNAcentral.